This 585-nucleotide ribosomal RNA is filed under the name Allantoparmelia almquistii. RNAcentral's name for it is "eukaryotic LSU rRNA". The stretch from base 208 to 361 matches the Rfam family "5.8S ribosomal RNA". The record is from RNAcentral. Lineage: Eukaryota; Fungi; Ascomycota; Lecanoromycetes; Lecanorales; Parmeliaceae.
GAACCUGCGGAAGGAUCAUUACUGAGAGAGGGGCUUCGCGCUCCCGGGGGCUUCGGCCCUCAACUCUUCACCCAUCGCCUACCUACCUUUGUUGCUUUGGCGGGCCUUGAGGAUCGCCCCGCGUCGGCCUUCGGGCCGGUGAGCGCCCGUCAGAGACCCAUUAAUUCUGCUUGAUAGAUGACGUCCGAGUAAAAACACAAUAGUAAAAACUUUCAACAACGGAUCUCUUGGUUCCAGCAUCGAUGAAGAACGCAGCGAAAUGCGAUAAGUAAUGUGAAUUGCAGAAUUCAGUGAAUCAUCGAAUCUUUGAACGCACAUUGCGCCCCUCGGUAUUCCGGGGGGCAUGCCUGUUCGAGCGUCAUUGCCCCCCUCAAGCGUAGCUUGGUAUUGGGUCCUCGCCCCCGCGGCGUGCCCGAAAAGCAGUGGCGGUCCGGUGUGACUUUAAGCGUAGUAAAUUUCAUCCCGCUUUGAAAGUCCGCCCCGUGGCCGGCCAGACAACCCUAUUACUUUCAAUGAUUGACCUCGGAUCAGACAGGGAUACCCGCUGAACUUAAGCAUAUCAAUAAGCGGUGGAAAAGAAACCAA